UACAGAGGUGCCAAGCGUUGUUCGGAUUUAUUGGGCGUAAAGGGUGCGUAGGCGGUUGUGCAAGUCAGAUGUGAAAUACCGGAGCCUAACUCCGGAACUGCAUUUGAAACUGCACAGCUCGAGGUCUGGAGAGGUGAUUGGAAUUCUAGGUGUAGCAGUGAAAUGCGUAGAUAUCUAGAGGAACACCAGAGGCGAAAGCGAAUCACUGGACAGAACCUGACGCUGAGGCACGAAAGCUAGGGGAGCAAACGGG
Molecule: ribosomal RNA, 253 nt
Filed under: uncultured bacterium
Lineage: Bacteria
Description: partial 16S ribosomal RNA
Rfam family: Bacterial small subunit ribosomal RNA
Source: RNAcentral